GGUGAAGGAAGAAAGGGCAUGCAGUGGAUGCCUAGGCGGCAGGAGGCGAAGAAGGGCGUGGCAAGCUGCGAAAAGCCCGGGGGAGCUGCAAGCGAGCGUUGAUCCCGGGAUACCCGAAUGGGGAAACCCGCAUGGGUGAGAGCCCAUGUGCCGAAAGGCGCGAUACCCGGGGAAGUGAAACAUCUCAGUACCCGGAGGAGAAGAAAUCAAACGAGAUUCCCUGAGUAGAGGCGAUCGAAAGGGGAGGAGCCUAAACCAGCGCGAGCUGGGGUUGUGGGACACAGUUAGGCUGAGUCCGCACUGAAGCGUUGUAUAGCCGAACAGUCUGGGAAGGCUGACCGUAGAGGGUGACAGUCCCGUAGGCGAAAUGCAACGCGUAGGUGUGACUGUGAUCCCGAGUAGCGCGGGACUCGAGGAAUCCCGCGUGAAUCAGGGGGGACCACCCUCCAAGGCUAAAUACUACCUGCCGACCGAUAGCGCAACCAGUACCGUGAGGGAAAGGUGAAAAGCCCCCCGGAAGGGGAGUGAAAGAGACCUGAAACUGCAUGCCUACAAGAAGUCGGAGCCCGCGAGGGUGACGAUGUGCCUUUUGAUUAAUGAGCCUGGGAGUUAUCGCAUCUGGCGAGGUUAAGCCGAUAGAGGCGGAGCCGAAGCGAAAGCGAGUCCGAAUAGGGCGCGAGUCAGGUGCGAUAGACCCGAAGCCGGGUGAGCUACCCAUGGGCAGGGUGAAGGUGGGGUAAAACCCACUGGAGGCCCGAACCGGUGGAUCGUGAAAAAUCCUCGGAUGACCUGUGGGUAGGAGUGAAAAGCUAACCGAACUCGGUGAUAGCUGGUUCUCCCCGAAAUGCAUUGAGGUGCAGCCUCAGCAGUUCUGUGGCGGAGGUAGAGCGCUGGUAGGGCUAGUGGGGUAACCUGCGAACCCUGUCAAACUGCGAAUGCCGCCACACGAUAUGCUGGGAGUGAGCCCGUAGGGGAUAAGCUCUACGGACGAGAGGGGAACAACCCAGACCGUCGGCUAAGGGCCCGGAGAGGUGGCUAAGUGUGAAGAGGAAGGAUGUGGUGUGUCCCUGACAACCGGGAUGUUGGCUUAGAAGCAGCCAUCAUUUAAAGAGUGCGUAACAGCUCACCGGUCGAGACGCACUGCGCCGAAAAUGUGCGGGGCUGAAGCCACCCCCCGAAGCCACGGAACCAGAAAUGGUUGGUAGGGGAGCGUUCCGCGGUAGGGAGAAGGUAGACUCGAGAGAGCUACUGGACGAGGCGGAAGUGAGAAUCCAGGCAUGAGUAUACGAGAGGAUGGUGAGAAUCCAUCCCCCCGAAAGCCUAAGGGUACCUGGGGAAGGGUCGUCCGCCCAGGGUGAGUCGGGACCUAAGGAAAACCCGAAAGGGGUAUCCGAUGGGAAACCGGUUAAUAUUCCGGUACCAGCUGUGUAUCGAUACUGCAAGCGGGGACGCAGGAGGCUAAGUUCUGGGGAUAAGUGGCAAAUCCCUCCAAGCGGUUAGGUGUUGAGGGCUGUAGGUAAGUCCGCAGCCUGAGCUGAGCCGUGAAGGGGAGGCUCCGAGAGGGGCCAACGGGACUGACGCCACACUGCCAAGAAAAGCCGCGUGUAGUGAUACAUGGCUGCCCGUUCCGCAAACCGACACAGGUAGGCGGGCUGAGAAAGCUAAGGGGAGCGGGAUAACCCUUGCCAAGGAACUCGGCAAAUUAGCCCCGUAACUUCGGGAGAAGGGGUGCUACGUUAGGUUGAAGUCAGGGGAAUCCGCGAGGAGGAAACUGACGGAGGCCGAGGUAGCCGCAGUGACAAGGCCCUGGCGACUGUUUACCAAAAACACAGGUCUCUGCCAACUCGAUGAGAGGAAGUAUAGGGACUGACGCCUGCCCGGUGCCGGAAGGUUAAGGGGAGGGGUGCAAGCUCCGAACCGAAGCCCCGGUAAACGGCGGCCGUAACUAUAACGGUCCUAAGGUAGCGAAAUUCCUUGUCGGGUAAGUUCCGACCUGCAUGAAUGGCGUAACGACUGGGGCACUGUCUCGGCAGGGGACCCGGUGAAAUUUCAGUCUGGGUGAAGAUGCCCAGUACCCGCAGCUAGACGGAAAGACCCCGUGGAGCUUUACUGUAACCUGGUAUUGUGCUCUGUUGCGGCGUGUACAGGAUAGGUGGGAGGCUAAGAAGCGGGCUCGCCAGGGUCCGUGGAGCCGACGGUGGGAUACCACCCUCGUUGCAGCGGAGUUCUAACCUACGUGUGUGGAGAGCACACGAGGGACAGUGCCAGGUGGGCAGUUUGACUGGGGCGGUCGCCUCCCAAAGAGUAACGGAGGCGCGCAAAGCUCGGCUCAGGUGGGUUGGAAAUCCACCGUUGAGUGCAAGGGCAAAAGCCGGGCUGACUGCGAGACCGACGGGUCGAGCAGAGGGGAAACCCGGUCCUAGUGACCCGGCGACUCCGAGUGGAAGGGUCGUCGAUCAACGGACAAAAGUUACCCCGGGGAUAACAGGCUAGUCUAGCCCGAGAGUUCACAUCGACGGCUAGGCUCGGCACCUCGAUGUCGGCUCAUCCCAUCCUGGGGCUGAAGCAGGUCCCAAGGGUUAGGCUGUUCGCCUAUUAAAGGGGUACGUGAGCUGGGUUCAGACCGUCGUGAGACAGGUCGGUCCCUAUCUGCUGCGGGCGCAAGAGGCUUGAGGAGGGUCGCCCUUUGUACGAGAGGACCAGGGUGAGGGAGCCACUGGUGUACCAGCUGUCCUGCCAAGGGCAUACGCUGGGUAGCUACGCUCCUGAGCGAUAACCGCUGAAAGCAUCUAAGCGGGAAGCGCGCUCCAAGAUGAGGCCUCCAAGGCCGGUCCGAGAAGAGGACCUAGAUAGGCCGGUGGUGGGAGCACCGAGAGGUGUGGAGCCAACCGGUACUAAUAGGCCGAAUCCUUCACCUU
Molecule: ribosomal RNA, 2918 nt
Filed under: Fervidobacterium riparium
Lineage: Bacteria; Thermotogati; Thermotogota; Thermotogae; Thermotogales; Fervidobacteriaceae
Description: 23S ribosomal RNA
Rfam family: Bacterial large subunit ribosomal RNA
Source: RNAcentral